RNAcentral lists this ribosomal RNA (418 nucleotides) under uncultured bacterium. Its description in RNAcentral is "bacterial SSU rRNA". It matches the Rfam family "Bacterial small subunit ribosomal RNA", at positions 28 to 444 of the family's 1533-position model. The record is from RNAcentral.
GACGAACGCUGGCGGCGUGCUUAAUACAUGCAAGUCAACUUGACUUUAGAUAGCAAUAUCGAAAAGUAGGGUGGCGCACGGGUGCGUAACGCGUAGGUAAUCUGCCCUGAGGUCUGACAUAACCCGUCGAAAGGCGGGCUAACAUCAGAUGAUAUAUAAUCACGACAUCGUGGAAAUAUCAAAUCUUCGGAGCCUUGGGAUGAGCCUGCGUCUGAUUAGGUAGUUGGCGGAGUAAUAGCCCACCAAGCCUACGAUCAGUAGCUGGUCUGAGAGGAUGAUCAGCCACACUGGAACUGAGACACGGUCCAGACUCCUACGGGAGGCAGCAGUAAGGAAUAUUGCUCAAUGGGGGAAACCCUGAAGCAGCAACGCCGCGUGAAGGAUGAAAUACUUUGUAUGUAAACUUCUGUAAGAUGGG